UUAUUGGGCUUUUUCAGCUCCCCUUAAGUGGCCACAACUUGUGGACUAAUUCGUUGACGCCAAAGUCUUUGAAGAAGCUUCAGCUCCUUACACAGACGAUGAUUUUGCCCUUCUAAACUAUUUGGCUCUUCAUUUUUGGUGUACAACUUCAACAAUCCCACUUCUUUUCCUGGUCUGGAGAGCAUCAUGGAUAAUGUUAUGGAGCAGAAACUUUCGGAAACAAGCAAUCUGAAGUGGAGAAUUUGGAAUGAGACCAGGCUUGUGUGGAAAAUCAUUCUUCCGUCUAUCUUGGCUAGAGUA
This is a long non-coding RNA of Eucalyptus grandis, 300 nucleotides long. RefSeq lists it as uncharacterized. Lineage: Eukaryota; Viridiplantae; Streptophyta; Magnoliopsida; Myrtales; Myrtaceae. The transcript has 3 exons. The record is from RefSeq and is a predicted model, not a curated record.